Macrobrachium nipponense is the source of this 383-nucleotide long non-coding RNA. RefSeq lists it as uncharacterized. Lineage: Eukaryota; Metazoa; Arthropoda; Malacostraca; Decapoda; Palaemonidae. The record is from RefSeq and is a predicted model, not a curated record. The transcript is spliced from 4 exons.
AGAACCCCCUGAAUGAUGUAGGCUAUGGGGCCACAUAAGACUUUGUCCAUCCAGGGUUACGUUGAAUGCCAAAUUUAAACUAAAGAACCCCCUGAAUGAUGUAGGCUAUGGGGCCACAUAAGACUUUGUCCAUCCAGGGUUACGUUGAAUGCCAAAUUUAAACUAAAGAACCCCCUGAAUGAUGUAGGCUAUGGGGCCACAUAAGACUUUGUGCAUCCAGGGUUACGUUGAAAGACAAAUUUAAACUAAAAAGCUACCAGACUGGGAUUUUAGUGUACUCCAGGAUCUAACAAAUACUACUACGAAGUGUACAGUGCAUAAUAUAGUGUUUAGUGUAUAAUCUAACCUAAGGAUUAAGUGUAGUACAUUGUGCUUUUUAGUGU